AUUAAUUAUGUUUUGGGACACACCUGGAAACCUUGUGUAAGCUAUGCCUCAUUAGUCAAUGCGGUACACCAUUAAGUUCUUUGGAAUACACAAAAGUAUCUGACUAGAAAGCUUAUGAAAUAGAAGACAAGAUCCUGCCUCAGGAAGCGUACAUGAGAAUAAUUUUAAAGGAACCCAGCGAUAAAUGCAAAACAGUAGCUGUUGGAGGUGAUGGAAAUGUACAGGAACAGUGGGAGAAGCCGGUAACUUAUAGGAAGCCAAGAUGACAAGAAUUUUAAAAAAUAAUCAGACACACACAGUUUGUACAGAGAGCACCUUUGUAAAGUUGAGAAACAGCGCUCCCCAUCAUCAGUUGUAGUAUACUCCCUCUCCUGCAUUGAAGAGGCCAACCUUCAUCAGAGGUUAGUACUUUAAAUAAGGCAUUUAAAUAAGGUACUUAGGGUUAACCAACUUGACCC
Molecule: long non-coding RNA, 458 nt
Filed under: Bos mutus (wild yak)
Lineage: Eukaryota; Metazoa; Chordata; Mammalia; Artiodactyla; Bovidae
Description: lncRNA (ENSBMUG00000006421.1)
Source: RNAcentral